This 497-nucleotide ribosomal RNA is filed under the name uncultured bacterium. RNAcentral describes it as "partial 16S ribosomal RNA". It matches the Rfam family "Bacterial small subunit ribosomal RNA", at positions 28 to 507 of the family's 1533-position model. The record is from RNAcentral.
GAUGAACGCUGGCGGCGUGCCUAAUACAUGCAAGUCGAGCGAACAGACGAGGAGCUUGCUCCUCUGACGUUAGCGGCGGACGGGUGAGUAACACGUGGAUAACCUACCUCUACGACUGGGAUAACUUCGGGAAACCGGAGCUACUACCGGAUAAUAUAUUGAACCGCAUGGUUCAAUAGUGAAAGACGGUUUUGCUUUCACUUAUAGAUUGAUCCGCGCCGCAUUAGCUAGUUGGUAAGGUAACGGCUUACCAAGGCAACGAUGCGUAGCCGACCUGAGAGGGUGAACGGCCACACGGGAACUGAGAAACGGUCCAGACUCCUACGGGAGGCAGCAGUAGGGAAUCUUCCGCAAUGGGCGAAAGGGUGACGGAGCAACGCCGCGUGAGGGAUGAAGGUCUUCGGAUCGUAAAACGCUGUUAGUAGGGAAGAACAAAUGUGUAAGUAACUAUGCACGUCUUGACGGUACCUAAUCAGAAAGCCACGGCUAACUACGUG